This is a long non-coding RNA of Myotis myotis, 1284 nucleotides long. RefSeq lists it as uncharacterized. NCBI's taxonomy places the organism in Eukaryota, Metazoa, Chordata, Mammalia, Chiroptera, Vespertilionidae. The transcript is spliced from 5 exons. The record is from RefSeq and is a predicted model, not a curated record.
UUGGCCCGUUCAGUGACAAGGCAUCCCUUCCGUGGGCGCAGGGCGGCCUGAGCCUCUAUGGCGAGCAGGAACCUGAAGAGAGGCAUUGUUCCUAUUGUUCAAACCAGUCUGCUCGGACGGCCUGGCAGUUCAGCCCCAACAGGCUAAGUACAUCCCAGCAACUGUUGGCUGAGCCAGCACUGUGGCGGUGAUGUCAUGGGUGCCAAGCAACAUUCCUUGUUCUGUUUACACCCGAGUACAAAUUGGAUCCAGAGCCCCCAAGUCCUACAGAGGUAGGUAAGCCUUGCUAGUGCCAGGUUAUAAAUUGCAUGCAGCCACAAAACGCCUGAAAGGAUUUUUGACUUUCAAAAUAUGAUCCAGAGUCUCCAAUAGAUGCUGGAUGUGGCUGGAGAUGUGAAGAGGUGCUUCCUGGUCAUCAAGCAGCUUGAAACCCACUGCUGGGAGGGCAUGGUGAGUUAAGGAGGAACUGUGAGCGGAAAGGUGAGUUCUGGAGGCAGGAAGCCCAAUAUCAAGAUGCCAGCAGGAUUGGUGUCUGCCUUAACUCAUCCCAGCAUCAGCUCCAAAGUCCAGCCUAAUCUAAACAUCAUCUAACUCGGGGAUGGUGAAACUGGAGCUCUAACUCCUCCUGAGGCAAAUUCCUGUCCUGCUGUGAACCUGUGGAACCAGCAUGCACCGAACCUCAGUGUAAGAAGAGCAGCCCCACGUGCAGGGACAGUGCCAAGCUGCCAUGCGGGAGGCCAGUCAGCACCUGGAAGCUGUGCCUGCAAACCAUCCCCCCUGCUUUCAGACGGCACUGGGCGGGGAGCCACAUCAGGGUGCGUCCCUCACUCGGAUGGGCCUCUGCUGAAGGCUGCCCGCAGGUCACCAGGGGAUCAGAUGUGUGUUUGUACUCAGUUUCCCAAAGCCCCUCUAACUGGUCCCAUAUAAACACCAGUUUUCAAAGGCCCAGAAGAGCCAGAAUGUCUCCAAUGGAAGGGAGCCUUUGCACCCAGAGGCGGGCUGAUGCGGGGAAAAGAAUCCCACCGUCCCAGCAUUGGUGGGUCAGGAGAGUAGAGCGCCCCUCUCCAUCUUAUGGGAUGCAUGUGACUGGCAGCACAGGGUAGCAGUUUGGUCCCCAGGCCUGGCAGACUGCAGUGUUUAAGUUCUGGCUUUGCCUCUUCCUAGCAGAGUGAUCCUGGGUUAAGUUUUCAAUAUCUCUGUUUCAGUUGUCUCCCCUGAGAGGUGGGAGAUGAAAAUAAUUCCCAUCUCGUGGGGUGACGUUAAGAAUUAAAUGAAUUGAUUCAA